RNAcentral lists this long non-coding RNA (8831 nucleotides) under Nicotiana tabacum (common tobacco). RNAcentral's name for it is "long non-coding RNA (NTAB_LNC010036)". The record is from RNAcentral. Lineage: Eukaryota; Viridiplantae; Streptophyta; Magnoliopsida; Solanales; Solanaceae.
GUUGUUUCAUGUUAUUACCCGAGGGGCGGUUCUUUAUUCAUGUUAUGCCCGAGCAGCUGAUUACGAGUGAUUGUGAGGUAGUCCAAAAGGUUGGUUCUGUUCAUAUUAUGCCCGAGGGGCGGUUUAUGAUACAUGUUUUGCCCGAGGGAUUGUUUAUGUUUCUACCCUUUUCUCACUAUUUUCAUCACUCGUUUGAAACUAUUGAAAGAUGUUUUAAAAGGAAAUAGUUUUAUUGAAACUGAGUUAUUUUACGAGAAAAUGGUUUCUGUACUGUUUUUGAGAAAUAUACAGUAUUUGUUGUAGUGCUAUGAUGGAAAAUUAUGUGUUUUCUUUCUGCUCAGCUUUCAUUUACUUUUAUUACUUUUUGAGUUGGCGUACUCACAUUACUCCCUGCACCAUGUGUGCAGAUCCAGCAGUUGCGGGUCACGAUAGUGAGCAUUUAUUGUCCAUUCAGCAGGAUUUCGGAGUCGACAAGGCAGCUGCAUGGCGUUCGCAGCCCUGUUCUUCUCCCUCCUAUCUUCCCUAGCUUUAGUUAGUAUGGUCUUCCAGUCUUGUUUAGACUUUAUUGAAUUGAGACAGAGAUGUAGUUUCUCAUGACUUGUGACACCCCGAUGUCGGGCUUGUAUGUUUGUUCUGCACUGGUUAUUUAGACAUAUACUAUAAGAUUUCUUGUUGAUUAAUGGCAUAAAAAUGAGUGUUAUAGAAAAAUGGUUAGAUUUAGGAAUUGUGUCGGCUGACCUGGUUCCACGAUAGGCGCUAUCAUGACCGGAUCAGUUUUAGGGUCGUCACACCGAGUCUAACCUCGACGAAGUAGUAACAAGGCUAUAACAAGGCACUCACUAUAAACCUGUACGAAUAUAAAUGAAAUAAUAGCAGGAAUAGAGAAAGUAAGAAUUUAACAUAAAAUCGGAACUGAAAAGCAUAACAGAGGGCCCUAAAAUAACACUUGUACUCAACUUCUGAAUUCAACACGGAUACAGUAACAACAAUUAAACAUAAUAAAAUAUAUCUUCUCUGUUGCAGCGUGCAACCCGAUCCACAAAUAUAUAUACAUGACAAAUCUUUUAUGUUGAGGCGCGCAAUAUAUAUAUAUAUAUUCAUUACAGUGUGCAAUCCGAUCCCACACAAUAAUAUCAAUAAUUAUUGCAGUGAGCAACUGGAUCCGACACAAUAAUAAUAUAAAUGGACAACCUUAACCAACUAUGACGUAUCUCAAAUAAAACACAAUAAGAUAAUUAAAGAACUAAACAAGGUUAUAAAACAAGUAAAAGCAGUUAAUAAAUAAAGACAUGGAUACAUGAAAACAAUUAGCAACUUAAGGCACGCAAUGGAUAAAAAGGCAUAAAUUUAACAAGUAAGGGCAAGUAACAAUUAGAGCAUUUAAUAAGUAAUAACAUGGAAUAAAUGAAAAUAAAAAAUGAUUGAAGACAAUAAAUAAAUAUCCCAGCCCCAGUGCUUCACCCGUAACUAUGCAUAUACACUCGUCACUUUGCAUAUACGCCUUCCCCACAUAUAAAUCAAGUAACAAUUAACCAGUCAAGUUCUAAUUCUCUCAAGUCAAGGUUAACUACGGCACUUACCUUUUCCUGCAACCAAAUCAAUGAUCAACCACGACUUUUUCUUAGAAUUAGCCUGCAAACCAAUCAAAUCUAGCCAAAUAUAGUUUAAAUAAUUCAAAAUAAGCUUUAGAAACUACCUACGAGUGAAAAAGAUUCAAUCUUUAAUGAAAUAAAAAAAAGUCAACAAAAGUUAACCCCGGGUCGGCUUGGUUAAAACUCGAGAUUCGGACCAAAGCCCGAUUACCCAUUCACCCCAAGCCCGUUAUGCAAUUUAUUUCAAAAUCCAACCUCAAUUUUAUAAAUUUUUUAAUUUCUACCAAAAACCCCUAAUUUCUACCAUGAAGUUCAUAGAUUAACGUUAAAAAUCAAUAGGUGAUUAUCGAAAUACAUCAAAAAUAGUUAAAAAUCACUAACCAAUGAAGUUGGGAUGAUAAUCUCCUUAAAAUCCUCUCUAGUCCGAGCUCUAGCUUUCAAAAAUGGCAUUGAAUGAAUAAAUUCCGACUUUCAGCUAUUAAAAUAACUAGGCGUCAGGUGUUCUUUGCGUUCACUAAGCACCCGCCAUGUUCGCGAAGUAUGGCCCAAUUUCCUUCGCGGUCGCAAAGUCUACAUCGCGUUUGCGAAGGCUUAUUAUCCAAUCUGCCUUCGUAUUCGUGUCCCCAAGGUCCGUGUUCACGAUGACGACCCCUACCAUCCCCCCAGGUCAUCCCCAAAGCUUCACGUUCGUGAGUGGCAAACCGUGUUCGCGAAGGGUAAUGCACCGUAUACUUCGCGUUCACGAAAAGUAACCACCCCUAGCCCAAAAUUUCCCCUUUGCGAUCAUGGUAGAGGCUUCACGAUCGCGAUAGAGGCUUCGCGAUCGCGAAGCACUGGACACCAGAAGCAAAAACCAGCAGUUCCAACAAGUUCAAAAAUAGUCCGAAAUAAAUCUAAAACUCACGCAAACCACUCGGCUCCAAACCGAACAUGCACACAAGUGUAAUAACAUCAUAUAAACUUGCUCGCUACCUCAAAUUAUCAAAAUAACAUCAAAUAAUGAGAAUUGAUCAUCAAAACUCAAGUUUUCAACUUGAAAACUCAUUUUUAAAAUCUUUCACAUAAUGUGCCAAAACGCGCUUGGGUCGUCCCGGACCCUAACCAAACGUGAGUACAACUCCAAAAAUAUCAUACAAACCUAUCAGAAUUUUCAAUACACCGAUCCAAGGUCGUUUACUAAGAAAGUUGACGUGGUCAACUCAAGUUAUUUUUAAAGCCAAAAUCACAUUUUCUUUUAAAUUAACGUAAAAGCUUUUCGAAAAAUGAUACAAACCAUGUACACAAGUCAUAUAACAUCUAAUGAAGCUAUGGGAGGUUUUGAAACACAAAAAUAAGGGUUAGUAUCCAAAACAACCUAUCGGAUCGUCACAUGCUCUUAAAAACCUAGGGGUCCAUUAGGUUUCUUGGUGGCUACUCUACCCGAAACCUUAACGUGGAGGCUACUCCAUCCAAAUCCCUACCUCACAUUUAUAAAAGGAGUCACAUAUUCACUUCGAAAGUAUCUCAAAAAUUUCAUAAACUCACGAAAUACUCACAAAAAGAUCAAGAAGAGGCACGAUACUUCUGACAAUCAAAUAGUUCAAGAAGAUCCACAACAUCCUUGCAUGGAGAUCAAAUACAUUUUACCUUCGAGAAAUAUGCUGCUCCAACCCUCGAGUCACAAAGAUAAUCAGGCCAGAAGAAUCAAGAGAACAAACAGAAUUGUAUCCAUAUUAUUUAUCAAUAAAAUUAUAUUUUUUCAUAUUUAUAUUAUGAUUGCAGUUUAUGAGUUGUCACACCUCCGUUUUCCCGAGGGGAUAAAGAAUUUUUUCAAUUAAAGUGACAUUAUCAAAAUGAGAUUAUUUAAUUAAUCAGAGUAGCCACUUGGAAUAAUUUAUGGUGUCUCAAUUCACCAGUUCAUUUAAAAUCCCAAAUCGAGGAAGUUUUGACCCUAUUUUUACAGUCUGCAAAAUACAAAAAAUCGGGUAAGGAACUUUGUUAACCUAGGAGAAGGUGUGAGACACACCCGAAUUUCGUGGUUUUAGCACGCUUGCUCAACUGUUAAUAAUUGACCUAAUUAUCUGAUUAAUUACGUGUUUAAAAUAUUUUAUGCAUUUUUUACUUUCUAACUUUUACUUAUUUUAAAUUUGUUUGAACAAGUCACGAUUGUCGCGCACUCGUUUGUUUUGUACAUAUCGCAAACCACGUCACAGGAACCGUACCCACGAUCUACAACAUGCUUAUUUUUAUUACUAUUCGAAGUUAUGGUCGGGUCACAUGAAAUACACACCCGAAUUUGGAUUUAUGUAUCGUAACUAUGCCACGAGAACCGUACCCACAGUCACGAGAAUUUAUUUAUGCGCCUAAAAAUUUUCUACCCAAGUUAAUGGCCUAAACAUGCUCGUAGCGAUUUGAAUAAAAAUAUAAAAUCAAUUAAAGAUAUCUAAAUCCAAAUUAUCCUUCACAUUUUAUGUCCAGACCCUCGACCUAAGGAACCAUGAUAAAACAAAAAAAUAAAUCAAGACGUUCGUAAGUUCAAGUCCCUACGGUCCAAUUCUCAUUAAUUCAUGAUGAUUCCCCAAUGAACCAAUACUUGUCUCAAAUAAUAAAUUAACGCCCACCUAAUUGAAUUUAAUUAUAGAAAAGGACAGAUGAUUUGUAUUAGUAGUUAAAAUGACAAUUAUUUACUAAUUGGAUGAAANNNNNNNNNNNNNNNNNNNNNNNNNUAUCUCCUUCUAGUGACUGAAUCUCAACAAGCAAUUAUCAAACAUUCAAGCUAAUCACAACAUAUGUCAAUUAGUUCAUAUAUCCUCAACAAUCAUAUAUUUGAUUAAAAAAAAUAUAAUAACAGAGAAGGGAUUAGAAUGGACUUUUAGUCGAGAUUUCUUCUCCGAUUAAAUGACAGAAUCUUAAAAAUCAUAUAGAUAUGCUCUAUUUGAAAAGUGCAAAAUAAGAAUAUCCAGCGACGGACUUUAGAUAAAAAAUGAACUGAAAUUCCCAAAAUUGAACCGCACCAGAACCUUUGACCGCACCACCUCGACAAUCUUUAUUUUAGAACCACAGACGGUAUCUCCAAUCUUGAGACGAAACUUAAUUGUUUCCUCUAGUUUUUCAAUUUUUAUCGAUUCCUUCCUAUGUGUGUGUCUCUUUUUUUUAGAAGUAUUUGAUUUGGGAAAUUGGGGGUGGCAGAGGUGUGUCCCUUUGGUGGGGUGCGGCUGCUACUUUUUUUUUUUUUUUUUUUUUAUCUUUUGGGAUUGUAGGAAUUAGGUUAGGUUUCUAUAAUUAAGGAUUUUAUAUGGAGGUGGCAAGGGAUGAUAACCAUUGGAUUAGAAGGAAAUAGAUAGCUAAAAUUAAAUCUUGCAUUUUAAGUGGAGAGUGGGCUAAUGGGUUGGGAAGAAUGGGCCGAAGACAUAGUUUGAUUAUCCUUUAGUUCUUUCGAGAGUGGAGAUAUUGGUGCCGGCGCUACAUUACGUACCACGAACACUUCCCUUGCCGCGUGUUGUUCUAAAUAGUUUUAUGUCAAAAUUUUUAUCAUUUGGUGGAGGGUGGAUGGUGCUGCUCUCAUGUAGUGUAUCCUUGGUCGCCUGGAUAAGGCGUUGUAUUUCAUGUCUUCUUCAAUGACAUGGAAUUUGACAUUUCGGGUCAUGCCAACCAUGCUGACUGGGAGAGUGAUCUCUCCUUUCGUUGUUUCGAUCGCCGUGUUGAAUCCGUUAAGGACUCAAGAGGCGGGCAUGAUUUAGUCUAGCAGUUCGAUCUGCUCUAUUACCCUUGACCUGGUAAUGUUGGCCGAGCUACCUGGAUCCACGAGCACAUGUUUUAUUCGAAAUGAAUUAACGAGGAAAGAGGUUAUCGGAGUGCCGUUAUGAGGUUGGGACGAGGUUUUGGAUUCCUCCUCGCUGAAUACGAGGGCAUCUUUGGGUACGUAUCCCCGAGUUUGCUUUUCUCUGGUGAUGGAUAUUUUUGUCCUUCUCAUCACGGGUUCCUGGGGAGUGCCGAACCCCCCCCCCCCCCCCCCAAAUAUCAUGUGUAUAACAUGUUGUGGCUCAUUUGCUUUGUUCUUCUUGGCCGUGCGUAUUAUGUAGUUCACAUACUAAGUUGUGAUUCCUCUGGGAAGGAUUCGAUUGUAUAGGCCUGGGCCACUUGGCAUCUCUGAUUUUACUGAUGGCGAACAUGAUAUCCAAUACAUCGAUGUUGAAGUUGUAUUCCGACAAGUGAGGUGCACCCAUUGGCCCUGCGUUCUUAUCAAAUCUGGCUCUGUUGAUGAGUCCUCGAGGAUCCUGUCCUCGAUCUAUUCUCUGAUCAUUGCGAGGUAGGUUGAGCCUCGGGGCAUUCCUCCUAUCUUUGGGGUACGACAAGACCUCUCUUUGUUCGGUUUCGACUCCUUUGCCAGGAGUCUGCUCAGAUAUACUGAGCCCGAGAGGUCUCCCAUCUGGUCAUCCUCGACCCUGAUCUUUGACUGAUAAUGAUUGUGGACGUCCGGCCAGGUUACGGAGGGAUACUCGAUCAGAUUCUCUUUCAGCUGCCUUGAGGCAACUGAGCUUCGUUCAUUCAGGCCUUGAGUGAAGGCCUGUACCGCUCAGUCGUCGGAGACCAGGGGUAGUUCCAUUCGUUCCAUUUGGAAGCGAGAUACGAAUUCUCGCAGCAUAUCAUUCUCCCUCUACUUAAUCUUGAAUACGUCGGACUUCCUUGUUGCUACUUUGAUGGCACCGACGUGUGCCUUUAUGAAGGAGUCUUCCAGCAUGGCAAAUAAGUCUAUGGAGUUGGGAGCUAGGUUGUGAUACCACAUCAUGGUCCCCUUCAAGAGCGUUUCUCCGAACUUCUUCAAUAAGACGGACUCGAUCUCAUCGUCUUUUAUGUUGUUGCCCUUUACUGCGCACGUAUAUGCAGUAACGGGUUCAUUGAGGUCUGAGAUACCGUUGUACUUUGGGAGUUCCGGCAUUCUGUACUUCUUUGGAAUGGGUUUCGAAUCCGCUUCCUCUAGGAACGGCCAUUGCACAAACUUCUUUGAAUCUACAUCUUUCAGGACCGGGGGUGCGCCCGAGAUUUGGUCGACCCAGAAGUUAUAGGUUUCGAUCUUCUUAUAGUUGGCUGCUAUCAUUUUCUCGCCCGACUUGAUCAUUUUGGCGAGGUCCUCGAGCAUUUUUACGAUGGUAGGAUCGGCUACCGAUCCGUUGUUGCUCGAGCUCUCCGGUACCUGUUUGGAGGGGGAGUAGCAUCCAGUGCUAUUGUGCUGGGAGUCUUCGGGUGGCUUUGCAGCUGAGCAAUAGCCAGCUAUUGUGCCUGCAACAUUUCAAAAAUAACAUGAAGGCUAACUUCCCAUUCUUCCCGAGCUGGGGUUUUUGGGCUUCCUGUUGGUCGCCUUGUUGUAUGCUUCUGUUGGUGUGUGAGGUUUUGUCGACUCGCUAUGCAUCUUGCGAACCCGCAUCCGCUAGAAUUGGUCCAGGUGCAUUGUUGAGGUUCUGUGGUGGCGCACCAACGAUUGGAACAACCAUACCAUUUUCUCCGUGGUUUUCAAGGUUGUUGUUCUCAACUCUGUUUACUGAGCCAGACAUUUUAACCUGAAAUCGAAGAUCUUCGACAAGAAAAUGUGUGAAAGAUUACUUGCGUUGUGUGACAAAACCAGCAAGAAAAUAAUUUCUAUUAAUUUUAGCCCCACUGUGGGCGCCAAACUAUUUAUCGAGAAAAUGGUAAUAACAAUUAAAUUUAUUGAUAGGACUCUAAAAAUACGUGAUCUAUUUUUAUGCUAGUUGUUAAGCAGUUGAUGCUAGGUAUGUGAAGUUUAAAGAUGAGAUACGAGCUAAAGUAGAGUUAUAACCAAUCCGAGGGGUUAGCUAUUCGGGCCUCGGACUGACCGGUGAGGGGCCUCGAGGUCGAUGCCUAGGCUCGGGCUCGAGCUAUCGGGGAUAAUCGGGAAAGGGCUAACAGGUACGAUAUAAUUAAGGGAGGCUCUUCAUGCCCAACAACAAGCAAUAAAUGAAGAACAAGUAUGAAGUCCAGAAAUAAGAGCAAGAAUAUCGAAGGAAUAUAUUAGAGAGAAAAGAGAGAAAGAGUUGUUAUUUAUCUUGUGCAGAAUAGUUGGAGCAACAGCAUCCCCUUACAAAAUGGUAAGGAUCCCCUUUAUAUAGGAGGAGAAUCCCAUCAUAGUACAAAAUACAUUAAUUUCAAAGGUAUGGAGAUGGGAUAGCUAGACGUGACACCUUGAGACAAGUUCCGGGCAGGCCGACUUUGUUAGACUUAGUCGCGUGCCUUGGGAAUUCCCCAUUUUUAUUCUAACCUCAAUCGACAUUCCCUUUAGGUUGGGCCUCGAUGAGCUCCGAGGGAGGGAACUCGGUCACAGCUUCGCGUCCUCGAGGUCUCGAGGUAUUCUUCCGAAAUGAACUAAUAGCAAGAAAUUGGGCCCCCUUAUUUCGCCACAUACAAAACUAAUUAUCAAGAGCAAAUGGAGCAAGCAAAUAGUAAGACAUCAUCAAAACGUAGCAAUGAAGCAUUAACAUUUAACAAAACAGAGCAACAACAAACUAAUAAAAUAACAAAAGCAUGAUAUCAAGAAAAAAACAACAGAAGGAAAGAAGAAAUUGACCUCAAAACGCCAGACGAAACUCGAACCGGAAACCAAUAGACAGUACCUCGACGUACGACUAAAAAGAGCCCCUAGACAACGAUCACCGACGACCUCGAAGCUCUCCGAGAAACUCAAACUAAACCUGGACGAAACUGAACUCCGGCUGGGUUUGAUGUUGUUUUUCGCUAUUUUUUUUAGAUGAGUUUUGGAUUGAAACAGUAGUAUGUUGGAGAUUGUUUGGCUAGAAUUUUGGUAUGAAGGAAUGGGCUAUUUAAGGGUGCUAAAAGGACAGUGUUACAACUAUGUUUCCAUAGCUUUUCAGAGCUAAAAUACUUACUGUUUUUGCCAUUCCUCCUCUUACUUCUCUUUGUGCGUGUGUCUUUAGGUCAGUGGCUGUUUGUGAUGAAAUCACGGUAGAGAGGAAGCAAUUUUAUGAUGUGAAUUACUCCCUGCUACGGCGCUGCUCAAUGAACUCCUAUCCCUUAUGUUUUUCCCCUUUUUCUUGCUCUCGUUUUUUUCCUUAAUUUCUAGCCCUCCCAUUUUUUAAUCUUGGAGAAGAUGAACUGAUUAGUUCUCUAUUAAUCUUAUUCUUUUAUUUCUCUAAUUUGAUAGCUUGGAACUGAAGCAGAAGGGACAAUGGGUUGCAGUGAUCUUUUUGUGGGGGGUCCUUGUUGCUAGGUCUCUUUAUCCUUUUCUUC